This 516-nucleotide ribosomal RNA is filed under the name uncultured Lachnospiraceae bacterium. Its description in RNAcentral is "bacterial SSU rRNA". It matches the Rfam family "Bacterial small subunit ribosomal RNA", at positions 1 to 507 of the family's 1533-position model. Lineage: Bacteria; Bacillati; Bacillota; Clostridia; Lachnospirales; Lachnospiraceae. The record is from RNAcentral.
CGAGAGAGGUUUUAGACUUCUCGGCGCUAGGAUGAACGGCUGGCGGCGUGCUUAACACAUGCAAGUGAACGGGGAUUACACGGAGAUGCGAUUUCGGUCAAAUCAAGUGCAAUCUUAGUGGCGGACGGGUGAGUAACGCGUGGGUAACCUGCCUUGCACUGGGGGAUAACACUUAGAAAUAGGUGCUAAUACCGCAUAAGCGCACGGUCCCGCAUGGGACAGUGUGAAAAACUCCGGUGGUGCAAGAUGGACCCGCGUCUGAUUAGCUGGUUGGCGGGGUAAAGGCCCACCAAGGCGACGAUCAGUAGCCGGCCUGAGAGGGUGGACGGCCACAUUGGGGACUGAGACACGGCCCAAACUCCUACGGGAGGCAGCAGUGGGGGGAUAUUGGACAAUGGGGGGAACCCUGAUCCAGCGACGCCGCGUGAGUGAAGAAGUAUUUCGGUAUGUAAAGCUCUGUCAGCAGGGAAGAAAGCAAUGACGGUACCUGACCAAGAAGCCCCGGCUAACUACGUG